Molecule: ribosomal RNA, 821 nt
Filed under: uncultured bacterium
Lineage: Bacteria
Description: bacterial SSU rRNA
Rfam family: Bacterial small subunit ribosomal RNA
Source: RNAcentral
AGAGUUUGAUCAUGGCUCAGAGCGAACGCUGGCGGCAUGCUUAACACAUGCAAGUCGCACGGGCAGGGGUAACUCUGUCAGUGGCGGACGGGUGAGUAACGCGUAGGUAUCUAUCCUCGGGUGGGGGACAACCACGGGAAACUGUGGCUAAUACCGCAUGAUGACUGAGGUCCAAAGGCGCAAGUCGCCUGGGGAGGAGCCUGCGUCCGAUUAGCUUGUUGGUGGGGUAACGGCCUAUCAAGGCUCCGAUCGGUAGCUGGUCUGAGAGGAUGAUCAGCCACACUGGGACUGAGACACGGCCCAGGCUCCUACGGGAGGCAGCAGUGGGGAAUAUUGGACAAUGGGCGAAAGCCUGAUCCAGCAAUGCCGCGUGGGUGAAGAAGGUCUUCGGAUUGUAAAGCCCUUUCGGCGGGGACGAUGAUGACGGUACCCGCAGAAGAAGCCCCGGCUAACUUCGUGCCAGCAGCCGCGGUAAUACGAAGGGGGCUAGCGUUGCUCGGAUUGACUGGGCGUAAAGGGCGCGUAGGCGGCUUGUACAGUCAGACGUGAAAUUCCUGGGCUCAACCUGGGGGCUGCGUUUGAUACGUAUGGGCUUGAGUUCGGAAGAGGGUCGUGGAAUUCCCAGUGUAGAGGUGAAAUUCGUAGAUAUUGGGAAGAACACCGGAGGCGAAGGCGGCGACCUGGUCCGAUACUGACGCUGAGGCGCGAAAGCGUGGGGAGCAAACAGGAUUAGAUACCCUGGUAGUCCACGCCGUAAACGAUGUGCGCUGGAUGUUGGGUGACAUAGUCAUUCAGUGUCGUAGCUAACGCGAUAAGCGCAC